This 19-nucleotide small nuclear RNA is filed under the name Arabidopsis thaliana (thale cress). RNAcentral's name for it is "snRNA_07264". The record is from RNAcentral. Lineage: Eukaryota; Viridiplantae; Streptophyta; Magnoliopsida; Brassicales; Brassicaceae.
GUGAGUCUGCUUGAGCGUU